GACGAACGCUGGCGGCGUGCUUAACACAUGCAAGUCGAGCGGUAAGGCCCUUUCGGGGGUACACGAGCGGCGAACGGGUGAGUAACACGUGGGUGACCUGCCCUCAGCUCUGGGAUAAGCCUGGGAAACUGGGUCUAAUACCGGAUAUGACUCCAUGACGCAUGUUGUGGGGUGGAAAGCCUUGUGCGGCUGAGGAUGGGCCCGCGGCCUAUCAGCUUGUUGGUGGGGUGAGGCCUACCAAGGCGACGACGGGUAGCCGGCCUGAGAGGGCGACCGGCCACACUGGGACUGAGACACGGCCCAGACUCCUACGGGAGGCAGCAGUGGGGAAUCUUGCGCAAUGGGCGAAAGCCUGACGCAGCGACGCCGCGUGAGGGAUGACGGCCUGG
This 389-nucleotide ribosomal RNA is filed under the name uncultured bacterium. RNAcentral's name for it is "bacterial SSU rRNA". It matches the Rfam family "Bacterial small subunit ribosomal RNA", at positions 28 to 419 of the family's 1533-position model. The record is from RNAcentral.